CCUACGGGUGGCAGCAGUGAGGAAUAUUGGUCAAUGGACGAGAGUCUGAACCAGCCAAGUAGCGUGCAGGAUGACUGCCCUAUGGGUUGUAAACUUCUUUUAUACGGGAGUAAAAUAGGGUACGCAUACCCUCUUGUAUGUACCAUAUGAAUAAGGAUCGGCUAACUCCGUGCCAGCAGCCGCGGUAAUACGGAGGAUCCGAGCGUUAUCCGGAUUUAUUGGGUUUAAAGGGUGCGUAGGUGGUUUGAUAAGUCAGUGGUGAAAGUUUGAGGCUCAACCGUAAAAUUGCCGUUGAAACUGGCAGACUAGAGAACAGUAGAGGUAGGCGGAAUGUGUGGUGUAGCGGUGAAAUGCUUAGAUAUCACGCAGAACUCCGAUUGCGAAGGCAGCUUACUAGACUGCAACUGACACUGAUGCACGAAAGUGUGGGUAUCAAACAGGAUUAGAUACCCGAGUAGUC
This 460-nucleotide ribosomal RNA is filed under the name uncultured bacterium. Its description in RNAcentral is "partial 16S ribosomal RNA". It matches the Rfam family "Bacterial small subunit ribosomal RNA", at positions 338 to 795 of the family's 1533-position model. The record is from RNAcentral.